GAUUGUUUGAUCCUGGCUCAGGAUGAACGCUAGCGGCAGGCUUAACACAUGCAAGUCGAGGGGUAGAGGAAGCUUGCUUCCUUGAGACCGGCGCACGGGUGCGUAACGCGUAUGCAACCUACCUUUUACAGAGGGAUAGCCCAGAGAAAUUCGGAUUAAUACCUCAUGGUAUAUAUCAUUCGCAUGUUUGAUAUAUUAAAGUUCCAACGGUAAAAGAUGGGCAUGCGUCCUAUUAGCUAGAUGGUAAGGUAACGGCUUACCAUGGCAACGAUAGGUAGGGGUCCUGAGAGGGAGAUCCCCCACACUGGUACUGAGACACGGACCAGACUCCUACGGGAGGCAGCAGUGAGGAAUAUUGGACAAUGGGCGCAAGCCUGAUCCAGCCAUGCCGCGUGCAGGAAGAAGCAUCUAUGGUGUGUAAACUGCUUUUGUACGGGAAGAAACACUCCUUCGUGAAGGAGCUUGACGGUACCGUAAGAAUAAGGAUCGGCUAACUCCGUGCCAGCAGCCGCGGUAAUACGGAGGAUCCAAGCGUUAUCCGGAAUCAUUGGGUUUAAAGGGUCCGUAGGCGGUUUGGUAAGUCAGUGGUGAAAGCCCGCAGCUCAACUGUGGAACGGCCAUUGAUACUGCCAGACUUGAAUUACAAGGAAGUAACUAGAAUAUGUAGUGUAGCGGUGAAAUGCUUAGAUAUUACAUGGAAUACCAAUUGCGAAGGCAGGUUACUACUUGUGGAUUGACGCUGAUGGACGAAAGCGUGGGGAGCGAACAGGAUUAGAUACCCUGGUAGUCCACGCCGUAAACGAUGGAUACUAGCUGUUGGGGGCGACUUCAGUGGCUAAGCGAAAGUGAUAAGUUCCCAC
This 860-nucleotide ribosomal RNA is filed under the name uncultured bacterium. Its description in RNAcentral is "bacterial SSU rRNA". It matches the Rfam family "Bacterial small subunit ribosomal RNA", at positions 9 to 872 of the family's 1533-position model. The record is from RNAcentral.